CCGGCGACCGGCGCACGGGUGAGUAACACGUAUGCAACCUGCCCUCUUCAGGGGGACAACCUUCCGAAAGGGAGGCUAAUCCCGCGUAUAUCGGUUUCGGGCAUCCGAGAUCGAGGAAAGAUUCAUCGGAAGAGGAUGGGCAUGCGGCGCAUUAGCUAGACGGCGGGGUAACGGCCCACCGUGGCGACGAUGCGUAGGGGUUCGUGAGAGGAAGGUCCCCCACCACUGGUACUGAGACACGGACCAGACUCCUACGGAAGGCAGCAG
RNAcentral lists this ribosomal RNA (267 nucleotides) under uncultured bacterium. RNAcentral describes it as "partial 16S ribosomal RNA". It matches the Rfam family "Bacterial small subunit ribosomal RNA", at positions 88 to 354 of the family's 1533-position model. The record is from RNAcentral.